RNAcentral lists this unclassified non-coding RNA (418 nucleotides) under Hevea brasiliensis (rubber tree). Lineage: Eukaryota; Viridiplantae; Streptophyta; Magnoliopsida; Malpighiales; Euphorbiaceae. The record is from RNAcentral.
AAUACAUUCAAGGUAACACCAUUUAAUUAAGAAUAAGGCACCCAUUCUUCAAAAUCAAGAGUCAGAUUUCUAGACAUUAUGACACCAAAAAGAGCAUCCAGUUUAGCCUAAAAAUGACAAACAGAAUAAAAUACCUCAUUCUUGCAAGUACAGAGCACAUUACACAAUGUUCUAAGAUUCAAGCAUGAGCUCAAGAACACAAGCUUACAAAAAACCAUUACUAUAUAAGUUAAUUGCCAUUAAUGGCUUUUAGAAAAUGCUAUCUUUCUAGGAGAAGGCGACUCAAAUAGAUAGCUCGGUUCGAGAAAUAAGGAUCCCAUCAGUGUCAGCAUAAAGCCAUUCACCAUCACUGAUUCUUGUCCCUCCAAUGGUUAUCGGUACAUGUUUCUCCCCGAUCCCCUUCUUAUUGGCUUUCAUA